Molecule: ribosomal RNA, 596 nt
Filed under: Pseudanabaena sp. 0411
Lineage: Bacteria; Bacillati; Cyanobacteriota; Cyanophyceae; Pseudanabaenales; Pseudanabaenaceae
Description: bacterial SSU rRNA
Rfam family: Bacterial small subunit ribosomal RNA
Source: RNAcentral
GGUCGCUAAUACCGGAUGUGCCGAGAGGUAAAAGCUUAACUGCCUGUAGAUGAGCUCGCGUCCGAUUAGCUAGUUGGUGAGGUAAGAGCUUACCAAGGCGAUGAUCGGUAGCUGGUCUGAGAGGAUGAUCAGCCACACUGGGACUGAGACACGGCCCAGACUCCUACGGGAGGCAGCAGUGGGGAAUUUUCCGCAAUGGGCGCAAGCCUGACGGAGCAAUACCGCGUGAGGGAGGAAGGCUUUUGGGUCGUAAACCUCUUUUAUUGGGGAAGAAGCACUGACGGUACCCAAUGAAUCAGCAUCGGCUAACUCCGUGCCAGCAGCCGCGGUAAUACGGAGGAUGCAAGCGUUAUCCGGAAUUAUUGGGCGUAAAGCGUCCGCAGGUGGUUAAUCAAGUCUGCUGUUAAAGCGUGCGGCUUAACCGCAUAUCGGCAGUGGAAACUGGUUGACUAGAGUUCGGUAGGGGUCACGGGAAUUCCCAGUGUAGCGGUGAAAUGCGUAGAUAUUGGGAAGAACACCAGCGGCGAAAGCGCGUGACUGGGCCUGACCUGACACUGAGGGACGAAAGCUAGGGGAGCGAAUGGGAUUAGAUACCC